RNA transcript from Lolium rigidum, 2885 nucleotides. RefSeq lists it as uncharacterized. The record is from RefSeq and is a predicted model, not a curated record. NCBI's taxonomy places the organism in Eukaryota, Viridiplantae, Streptophyta, Magnoliopsida, Poales, Poaceae. The transcript is spliced from 4 exons.
CUAACAUCGGCUCCGUCUGGAUCCCAAGGCAAAAAGCAUGGGAUUUUCGAGGAAGAGGCAGCACGACUGGUCAUUGGAGAAGACGAAUCAGGCACUUUUAUGGUAGCUUGCACUGGUCACACCAUUUGUUCAUGUAUUCCCUGCUGCAAAUUCUAUCCCAUGAUUGGGAGGAAUGCUAUCGAGUAUGUCAUGGUCCAUCCAACAAUUUUUUUAUUGGGAAUUCUGUGUACCAACUUCCAACUAGGAGUGGUAUUUUUUAUUGACUCCAGCAUGACUAAGAUCUUAUAUUUGUGUACGAGGGACAAACGGGAGAGAAGAGAGGAGUUCCCCACCGGACAUGAAAAUAGAUUGAGGGGCAGCCAGCGACCUGGGAGGAUAUUGAGCAUUGUGGACCUAAGAAGGGUGCUUAUCCAGGAGGGGAUCUCCAGGUUGGAGCUUAUGCAACCCUCUUGAACUUUAGUAAAUCUUUCAAUCUAUCCAACAUCUCUCAAGAUGACCUUAUGUUACUCCUAUGCUUGGGGAAGAUAUGGAGUCUUCUGUCAGGACCAGUUGGACAUCGUCGCCCCCGGAACUGAUUGUCUGGAGCAUUUUAGACAUAAAGUUUAUAUAGUCUCAGUUGGCAUAAACCAUACUUAUCAAAUCCCGAGGAAUACUUCUCAAGUGUUAUUUAUGUACGUUUUCUCCGAGCCUACAAAUGUUAAUUGUUUCAUGAUAUGUGACCCCAAUUUUUAUUUCUUAAUCUGUAACUUAGUUCAGCCAUUUACGUGUAAAUGUUCUUUCAUGCCUGAAAAACAAAUAGAGAAAACUAUUCCUUACGUAAUUUGUAAGUAGACACAAGGUCUUGAAUAGUAGUUCAUAUGUUGCAUGAAGAGUCGUUAGUUCAGAUACAUAAUUUGGCAAUGCAGAUCUAUAGGUAAAUUAGAAUGUGCAAUGUUUAUACAUUUUGUUGUUGUUGGUAUUUUCACUUAAUUAUAAAGUCAGAAUGAUUAAGACAAUGUUACUUUUGGUGCAUGUGGUACACAGUGCCGUAGCUAGCAUAUAGUUAAUGCCUUAAUGGUGUCAAAUGACACCAAUGGAUUCUUACAAAUCCUUUGUAGAAAUAGUCAAGUGCUCUUGUAAGAAAUGACACCACCAUAGUUUAAAGAGUGACACCGAUGCUAUUUUGUUGUAGCUUUACGCUGAUACAUAGAUGGUUAUCCCAGUUUACUAGAAAACCGUUCAACGGAUCAUGAGAAGUAUUUGUACAAGAUUAGCAUCUUGAGUUUAUGUUGGUUGAAGCAUUGAAUGAAUUUAAGAGUUUAUUGGUAUUUUAGAUUUAAGCUUUUCAUUGGUUAGUGUGUUUGCUAGGAGGUGAGCCAAGCUAAUGGGUUACUAACUAUAUCAGAUUUUCCAAGUUAUUGAUGCUCACAGAUACUUGAUGUUAGCAAGGCUGGCAUAGGCGAGCUCCGACUUCAACAAUGCUCUGACUGUGAGCUAGCAAGCAGCACAAUGCUAAGUACAGUACAUGUCCAAAGUCUCAUAGAAGGUUUGUAAACAACUUUUCUUUAUACUCUCCUUCUAGCUAUUUAUCUUAAGAUCGAUGCUGGACUAGAAACUGAGCACAGCCUGGGCAUUUACUUUUCAUCAGAUAGAUUUCAUAUCCCCCGACUGGCUCUCCUAAUAUUCAUUAUUAUGAGAUCAUCACGCAGGUCUGGAUACCACUUUGUUGAGUUUCAGCUUGUGUUAUAACUUAUGACGCUCAGUUUUUGUCCUUAACACGUUGAAAUAAAUGUGUUUUUUGGGUAAGUAAAGUUGUCGCGAAAUUUUAUCCGAUGUUGAUGAAGCUUAUUAUCAUCCUCAGUUCAAAAAUAUGAUACUAUAGGACUUAAGAUAUUCCAUACUAUAUAGGAUUAGCAAAUUAGCAAAGUUUUCUUGAUUGAAAAGCUUGCGUCUAGAUUCCGAGUUAUGUCAAGCGCACAGUUAGUGGGAGUUUUUAUCUACGGACAGAUUCCUUCAUCAAGGAAGUAACAAACAAAAUGCAGGUCUCUAAUGUUAGUACAGUUACUAUUCUUGAUUUAAAUGAAGGAAUAUACUAUAGAAGUGUAGAAGUGUGAUAAUUUUGAUUAGUAAAGCCUUCAUCUAUUUCCCUAUUUUUCCCUGGUGGGUUCUGUAAGAUGGCGACAUGCAGUGAAUCUUGGUGCUCGUCAGGCUGCAACGAGUAUUUGUUUUUGUCAACAACGAUACCCAUGGUCAGAACUUAUAUGUGCCAUUAGCUUUUCAUUUGACACAGAUUUAGAGUUGCGUGCAUGUUCAAUUUAUUUUUCACUUGACUUGUUAUUCAGAGUUAGCCUUAACUUUCUGAAACAGUUUUGAACAAAAUAAUGUGUAUGUCCACUACUACACUUUUUAAUUCUUGUCAGCUGGACAACUUGGGCAACAGAUUUCUGUUGCUGCCUUUCUUUUCUGCAGUUAACUUUGCUCACGGAGAAGUCGGUCCUUGUCAAUCAAGGGACGCCAAAUGUGUGUUAGUGAGGAGGCAUCCACGUGUCAUAUCGCCAAUGUGAUGACCACAGUCUGGUGGUCACAAUGGUCCGUCCACAGACAUUUGCAACACCUGAUGGAAGCACGACUGCCGCAUGACACACAAAUACAGCCAUGGCGGAGUACAUGUUGAACAAAGGCUCCACAUUUAAAUCUUUUUCAUUUGUGUAAGAUGUCAGCUAUAUAUUUUACUUAUCAAGCAAGAGAACGGAUUGUGGUUACAAAUUUAAGUUUGUGGAUUCAUUUGGCCUCAAGUGAAAUGUUUCGAGGACAAAUGGUACCCACCGUCUAUAUCUAGAGAUCGCAAGAGUAUUCUAGACAUCCGAGCGGUUGUAGAUAUAUCUUGCCAUUUUGAAAACUAAGAU